AGUAGUUUGACUCCGUGCUACGAGACACGCUGGCGGCACGCUUAACACAUGCAAGUCGAACGGAGAACUUUUAGUUUACUGAGAGUUCUUAGUGGCGACGGGUGAGUAACACGUGAGCAACCUGCCUCUGAGAGAGGGAUAGCUUCUGGAAACGGAUGGUAAUACCUCAUAACAUAUACGGAAGACAUCUUCUGUAUAUCAAAGAUUUAUCGCUCAGAGAUGGGCUCGCGUCUGAUUAGGUAGUUGGUGAGGUAACGGCUCACCAAGCCGACGAUCAGUAGCCGGACUGAGAGGUUGAACGGCCACAUUGGGACUGAGACACGGCCCAGACUCC
RNAcentral lists this ribosomal RNA (334 nucleotides) under Ruminococcus flavefaciens. RNAcentral's name for it is "bacterial SSU rRNA". It matches the Rfam family "Bacterial small subunit ribosomal RNA", at positions 1 to 339 of the family's 1533-position model. Lineage: Bacteria; Bacillati; Bacillota; Clostridia; Eubacteriales; Oscillospiraceae. The record is from RNAcentral.